Molecule: ribosomal RNA, 493 nt
Filed under: uncultured bacterium
Lineage: Bacteria
Description: partial 16S ribosomal RNA
Rfam family: Bacterial small subunit ribosomal RNA
Source: RNAcentral
GAUGAACGCUGGCGGCGUGCCUAACACAUGCAAGUCGAACGAAGCACCUUGCCUGAUUCUUCGGAUGAAGGUCUGGUGACUGAGUGGCGGACGGGUGAGUAACGCGUGGGUAACCUGCCCUGUACAGGGGGAUAACAGUUGGAAACGGCUGCUAAUACCGCAUAAGCGCACGAGAGGACAUCCUCUUGUGUGAAAAACUCCGGUGGUACAGGAUGGGCCCGCGUCUGAUUAGCUGGUUGGCAGGGUAACGGCCUACCAAGGCGACGAACAGUCGCCGGUCUGAGAGGAUGAACGGCCACAUUGGAACUGAGACACGGUCCAAACUCCUACGGGAGGCAGCAGUGGGGAAUAUUGCACAAUGGGGGAAACCCUGAUGCAGCAACGCCGCGUGAGUGAAGAAGUAUUUCGGUAUGUAAAGCUCUAUCAGCAGGGAAGAUAAUGACGGUACCUGACUAAGAAGCUCCGGCUAAAUACGUGCCAGCCGCCGCGGUAA